GAAAAACCAUAUCAUAAUCAUUGGUGAGGCUAGAAUAAAGUUGAAAAUAAGAGGAAACACAAAUGAAUAGGGUGACAAAAUAAAAAGGUAGAGAUGUGUAACCUUCAAAAGAUCAACUUAUAUCAGAAAUCACUUUAUCUGUACAUUUGAUAGAUAAGAAUGAAAAUUACUCAUAAAAGAUAGAAAAAAAAAGAAGAAAAUAUGACAAUUUUUCAGCAGUACGUAUUUUUUUCCCCUUUGUAUUUUGUUUAUACAAUCAUAAAGUGAAUAUGAACCAGAGAUUUCUAUUAAAUAUUUCAAAUAAGUACAUCCUCAAUUAUAUAAAUCAAUCAAACAUGUAAUGAGUAACAAACCUUGACAUUAAUUAGUUUAGAAAGAUAUGUAUUAAACAUCAAAAUUAAUUAAAUAUAUACUUAUAUCCUUAAGAACAUAAAAUGUCAUCUUCUAUAUUCCGAGAAUUAAACAAUUAACAUAAGUUAUACAGAUUAAAAAAUAUGCUAAAAUACUAAUUAUAAGUAGAAAAUGAAAACGAAAAAAAGAAAAUAGAAUAAUUACAAGAAAAUGAAAAAGAAAAAAAGAAAAUAGAAUAAUUACAAGAAAAUGAAAAAGAAAAAAAGAAAAUAGAAUAAUAACAACAAAUUUAAAAUGAGACCGUAUGGUAUAAAGGAAACUAACUCAAUA
This 681-nucleotide long non-coding RNA is filed under the name Lathyrus oleraceus (garden pea). Its description in RNAcentral is "Pisum sativum (pea) long non-coding RNA (PSAT_LNC041193)". Lineage: Eukaryota; Viridiplantae; Streptophyta; Magnoliopsida; Fabales; Fabaceae. The record is from RNAcentral.